Molecule: ribosomal RNA, 501 nt
Filed under: uncultured bacterium
Lineage: Bacteria
Description: partial 16S ribosomal RNA
Rfam family: Bacterial small subunit ribosomal RNA
Source: RNAcentral
AUUGAACGCUGGCGGCAGGCUUAACACAUGCAAGUCGAGCGGGGGAAGGUAGCUUGCUACCGGACCUAGCGGCGGACGGGUGAGUAAUGCUUAGGAAUCUGCCUAUUAGUGGGGGACAACAUCUCGAAAGGGAUGCUAAUACCGCAUACGUCCUACGGGAGAAAGCAGGGGAUCUUCGGACCUUGCGCUAAUAGAUGAGCCUAAGUCGGAUUAGCUAGUUGGUGGGGUAAAGGCCUACCAAGGCGACGAUCGGUAGCGGGUCUGAGAGGAGGAUCCGCCACACUGGGACUGGGACACGGCCCAGACUCCUACGGGAGGCAGCAGUGGGGAAUAUUGGACAAUGGGGGGAACCCUGAUCCAGCCAUGCCGCGUGUGUGAAGAAGGCCUUAUGGUUGUAAAGCACUUUAAGCGAGGAGGAGGCUACUUUAGUUAAUACCUAGAGAUAGUGGACGUUACUCGCAGAAUAAGCACCGGCUAACUCUGUGCCAGCCGCCGCCGUAA